Molecule: ribosomal RNA, 253 nt
Filed under: uncultured prokaryote
Description: partial 16S ribosomal RNA
Rfam family: Bacterial small subunit ribosomal RNA
Source: RNAcentral
ACGUAGGUGGCAAGCGUUGUCCGGAAUUACUGGGUGUAAAGCGCGUGUAGGCGGGAGGCCAAGUCUGCUGUGAAAUCGCUCGGCUCAACUGGGCGGGGUCGGUGGAAACUGGUCACCUGGAGGACGGUAGAGGCGAGUGGAAUUCCCGGUGUAGUGGUGAAAUGCGUAGAGAUCGGGAGGAACACCAGUGGCGAAGGCGGCUCGCUGGGCUGACACUGACGCUGAUGCGCGAAAGCUAGGGGAGCGAACGGGA